CUACCUUUCACCUAAAAUGGAAGAUUUGAGCUUUCACUGUAAGACUAUUAGUCUUACCUGGAAUAGCCAUUCACAUUCUUUUUUCUUUUUCUUUCUAACUGAGACAGGAUCUUGCUGUGUUGCCCAGGCUGGUCUUGAACUCCUGGGAUCAAGUGAGCCUCCCACCUUGGCUUCCUGGAGUGCUAGGACUAUAGGCAUGAGCCACCACGCCAGGCCCAGCCUUUCACAUUCUUGAAAGGGUUUUAGGGUAAAACUUUGAGACUGUUAUGUUUAAUAUGCCCACUUGAAAGAAAUAUUAAAAAUGGUAUCUCAAUGACUUUUGGUCACAAACCUCUUGCCUUUUGUUUGAAUCCCAUUGUCUAUUACUAAUAUGUAUAUGAUCUUAAAUUCUGAAAUCAGGCCCAAGAAACAGAUAUUUUCAAGAAAAAGAAGAGGAAAGGACAGGAGGACAGGAAAUCCAAAAAGAAGAAGUCCGCUCCCAGUAUUUUGUCAAAUGGACGGAUUGGACAGGUUGGAAAAUUCAAAAAUGGAACACUGAUUCUGAGCCCAGUUGAU
This 555-nucleotide small RNA is filed under the name Pongo abelii (Sumatran orangutan). RNAcentral describes it as "processed transcript". The record is from RNAcentral. Lineage: Eukaryota; Metazoa; Chordata; Mammalia; Primates; Hominidae.